Molecule: ribosomal RNA, 468 nt
Filed under: uncultured bacterium
Lineage: Bacteria
Description: partial 16S ribosomal RNA
Rfam family: Bacterial small subunit ribosomal RNA
Source: RNAcentral
GACGAACGCUGGCGGCGUGCUUAACACAUGCAAGUCGAACGGAAAGGCCCUGCUUUUGUGGGGUGCUCGAGUGGCGAACGGGUGAGUAACACGUGAGUAACCUGUCCUUGACUUUGGGAUAACUUCAGGAAACUGGGGCUAAUACCGGAUAGGAGCUCCUGCUGCAUGGUGGGGGUUGGAAAGUUUCGGCGGUUGGGGAUGGAAUCGCGGCUUAUCAGCUUGUUGGUGGGGUAGUGGCUUACCAAGGCUUUGACGGGUAGCCGGCCUGGGAGGGUGACCGGCCACAUUGGGACUGGGAUGCGGCCCAGACUCCUACGGGAGGCAACAGUGGGGAAUGUUGCACCAUGGGCUGGAGGCUGGUGCAACCACGCCCCGUUCGGGGUGACGGCCUUCGGGUUGUAAACCGCUUUCGCCUUUGCCGAAGCGUUAAUGACGGUAAUGGGUAAAGAAGCACCGGCUAACUACGUG